Long non-coding RNA from Panicum hallii, 1474 nucleotides. RefSeq lists it as uncharacterized. The transcript has 2 exons. NCBI's taxonomy places the organism in Eukaryota, Viridiplantae, Streptophyta, Magnoliopsida, Poales, Poaceae. The record is from RefSeq and is a predicted model, not a curated record.
CUAAAAUAGUGGCUCCGCCCGGCUCCUUCCCCAGCCCCGCACCAUCCCGUACCAAAAUACCCCCGAAUUUGCUCAUAAUUACACCCAAAUUGCCACCGCCUGAUCUUUCUCCGUCAUCUCCUCACGCGCUCCCUGCCCCCGUUCCUCUCUUCUCCUCUCCUCCACGGUGGCGGCGGCGCAUGGAUCCGGCGACGGCGCAGCCCGGAAACCACGCCCGAGCCGCCAAGAUCGAUGGAUCCGGUGGCUCUGAGCCCAUUCCGGGCGGGGGCGCCCUGCAUCCGGCCUUCCUGUGGGCGGGAGGGCCGCCGCUGGGUCCGCUCGACGCACUCCUCACGGCCGUGGGAGCGCCACUCAGCGGCGGGGCGAGCAAAUGGCCCGGCGCAGCAGGGGCCGGCGCGGCUGGCGCGUGGCCAGGCACGGCCGGCUCGUGGCCGGGCGUCGCGGGUGCCGGCGCGGCCACGGCGUAACGGGGGCAACUGGCGGGCCAGCCGCCGCGGGUGCAGGCGCGGCCUCCGCGUGGCCGGGUGCAGCCGGCAGGCUGGCCGCCGCGGGUGCCAGCGCGUGGCCGAGCGCGGCAGGCACCUCAGGAUCCGGGCGCGGUGCCCGGCGCGGGGGCCAGCGCGGCCAUGGCUGUGCCUGGUUAGUGGGGCUGGUCGGAAUGGCUUGCCGGAGCUGCGACGGCUCUUGGGCUGGAUUGGCUUCAUUCGGAGGCGGGCACUUCGGUCGGCGUCACCGGCGACAAACGGGGGAUGAGCCGAUGCUGGUUCGCGCCAGCUCUGCUCCAGCUCGAGGUGCCUCUGCUCGGCGACGUGGUGGCCGCGCACCUAGGCCGCCACCAUCGGCUACUGUUGUUCCUAGUUCUGUUGAUGUCGACGAUACUGAUACAAGGAAAAUGUUAUAUAAUUGAUGCUGGAUAUUCAAAUAGAUCAGGAUAACUAGCGCCAUACAAAGGUCGGUAUCACGUGCCAGAUUGGAGUUGGGGCCCUGCUCCUAAUGGUGAGCAAGAACAUUUUAACCAUUUACAUUUAAGUAUUCGCAAUAUGAUAGAACACUCUUUUGGUGCGUGGAAAAUGAAGUGGAGAGUCCUUCUCGAGUUUCCCAAUGGCAAAACAAAUGAUGAUUGUUGCUGCAAUCAUAUGUCUUCGUAACUUCAUUCGUGAGAACCAUGCACAUGAUAAAGAUUUCCGAAAAUGCGAUCGCAACCUGAUUAUGUGCCCACUGUACCUUCAAGAUAUAGGAAAUAUCAUAUUCCCCAAGACGCAGGAGAUACAGUCAAUUCGGAAUCUGAUGAUCGCACCAUGGAUAAAUUCCGAGAUGAUCUUGCGCGGGCCAUCUUUCUUUCUAGAUCAUUCUGAGCAAAUGUUAUGUCUACUCUUGUAAAUUAUGGACAGUUAAUUAUGCCUGCUCUUAUAAAUUGUGGACACUUAAUUAUGCCUAUUUUGUAAAUUAUGCCUUCUCUUUUAAAAGCUGGAAA